Molecule: ribosomal RNA, 595 nt
Filed under: Cortinarius anomalovelatus
Lineage: Eukaryota; Fungi; Basidiomycota; Agaricomycetes; Agaricales; Cortinariaceae
Description: eukaryotic LSU rRNA
Rfam family: Eukaryotic large subunit ribosomal RNA
Source: RNAcentral
GUGACCUCAAAUCAGGUAGGACUACCCGCUGAACUUAAGCAUAUCAAUAAGCGGAGGAAAAGAAACUAACAAGGAUUCCCCUAGUAACUGCGAGUGAAGCGGGAAAAGCUCAAAUUUAAAAUCUGUCAGUCUUUGGCUGUCCGAGUUGUAAUCUAGAGAAGUGUUAUCUGCGUUGGACCGUGUACAAGUCUCCUGGGAUGGAGCGUCAUAGAGGGUGAGAAUCCCGUCUUUGACACGGACUACCAAGGCUUUGUGAUGCGCUCUCAAAGAGUCGAGUUGUUUGGGAAUGCAGCUCAAAAUGGGUGGUAAAUUCCAUCUAAAGCUAAAUAUUGGCGAGAGACCGAUAGCGAACAAGUACCGUGAGGGAAAGAUGAAAAGAACUUUGGAAAGAGAGUUAAACAGUACGUGAAAUUGCUGAAAGGGAAACGCUUGAAGUCAGUCGCGUUGUCCAGGGAUCAACCUUGCUUUUGCUUGGUGUACUUUCUGGUUAACGGGUCAACAUCAAUUUUGAUCAUUGGAAAAAAGUUAAGGGAAUGUGGCAUCUUUGGAUGUGUUAUAGCCUUUGAUUGUAUACAAUGGUUGGGAUUGAGGAACU